Molecule: long non-coding RNA, 876 nt
Organism: Equus caballus (horse)
Lineage: Eukaryota; Metazoa; Chordata; Mammalia; Perissodactyla; Equidae
Source: RefSeq, a predicted model, not a curated record
GCGAGGCGGGGCGUGCCCGGAAGCCCGCCGGGCGCCCCGGGCCCUUGAGUGGUCCCGCGCGCUCGACCGGAUGCGCCUGCCGCACUCUUGCGUGCCUCGGGGUUCCAGUGCUGCCGAGCGCUAAGAAAAGCAUCGACCUGAGGUUUUAGUAUAAUAAGAGUUGGACAGCGUCUGGCGUUGAGGCACGGAAAAUCUGGAGUGCACGGGACAUCGCACUGGUUUCCUGCCUUUACUCAACGCUGUUCCUCAGCUGAGAAACCCUCUCCUCCUGUUACAUACCUACUCAUGCCUCAAGGGCCAACUCAAAAGUCAACUCCUUGAAGUCGUUGCCAACCCCCCGAGUCAAGAUUGUAUCAUUACACUGUAUUAGAGCACUUGACACACGACACUGUAUUCCUGGAAAAAAUGCAGUCAUGAAGUAUGGGAAAGCUGUAAGAAUAUGUGACUGCCUUGUCAGUCUCGACAGGAAAACAGUGUGAACCACCUCCUGCAGCCCGCUAUCACCUGGGGACAGACGGAGGAGGCCCUGGACACAGAGAUAACCAUGCGUUGCCGAGGCCGUGUGCGUGCUGGUGGAGACAAGUGCGUGGACUGGCAAGCUGACUGGCACUUUGGCAGAAGAGAACUUAAACCUCAGUAAAUUACGUUUAUUUUAAAAGAUUUUGCCGGGCCUGAGACAGAGUGCUGGCGAGCUGAGAAGGCAUACAGCACCCAAAGGAAGCUUGAAAGAACUCCGCUCUUCGCUCAGAGCUCAAGCAGGAGAUUGACAGCUUCACCUCCCCUCCUACCUUCCCGAUGGGCCGCGCCCAUGAGCCAUCUGCAGGGAUGAAGGAAACCAAGAAAGGUCAUGAAGCCCCUGUCCCCAUCUGGCACCAG